CGUGCCGGAUCUGGGGCUGCACAAUGCUCCCGUGUCGACCGAGAAACUCGUUCAAAAUCGUCCACGAGCUCGACGAACACGCGUUAUUUCACCCUCCCUAUAAUAGGCGCAAUUUCCCGUGUACAAAAUACACGUGCGCGGUUUCAUAAGGGGCUGCAAGAGUUUUCGCGACAAGGAGCCUGAAUAAAUUUGUGGCAUGUAAAUAUUGACGCGCUCGUGCCACUGUUUUAGUCGUGUCUCUCGUCAGCUGUGCGAAAAUUUUAGGAUUACGGAACGGGCUUAAAGAAACGUCUGCGAGGAUGAUGGAUAAAAAAUUGGUGGUGAGAAUUGGGAAAGUUCGACGAGCAAUUGGGAAGAAAUACAGCGAUUCGUGGGCUAGAGAGUUUGAUGCACCCAGUGGGUUCUUGAGAUACUUACAGGAGUGUGAUGGAUCGGAGAAAUUUUACUUUCAUAUCGUAUGACGGAUACUUGUUGCGGUUUGAUAUUUUUAUUUAUGUAAAGCUGAUCUAGUUGAUAGAUAAACAGUUGUGACGUUUUUCCAAUUUCUAUAAGAGACUAUUAAGUGUACAAAUUUGUUAAACACGUUCAAAUACGUAAUAUAGAAAUAUUCAAAAAAGAAAGUUAAAUUUUUUCAGGGAUGAAGUUAUUGAGAUCGGA
RNAcentral lists this unclassified non-coding RNA (657 nucleotides) under Bombus terrestris (buff-tailed bumblebee). RNAcentral's name for it is "misc RNA ENSBTSG00005029033.1". Lineage: Eukaryota; Metazoa; Arthropoda; Insecta; Hymenoptera; Apidae. The record is from RNAcentral.